RNAcentral lists this ribosomal RNA (384 nucleotides) under Polyplax arvicanthis. RNAcentral's name for it is "partial 12S ribosomal RNA". Lineage: Eukaryota; Metazoa; Arthropoda; Insecta; Psocodea; Polyplacidae. The record is from RNAcentral.
CUGAAUGAAAGGUCUUAACCUUAAUUGAUAGCAUGGUGGUUGCUGUCCCAGUCAGAGGCACAUGCCCAUAAACGAAACUGCACGAGCAUCUUACUUUCUCUUAAGGCAAGCUUGAGGUUUGCUGAGAAUUUUGUACAUCGCUGUUUAAAGGUUAAAUGUUCAAGUAUUAACCUUUUCCUCACUCAUUGAGCUAAGACGGUUGGUGUUGGCUUUAGAGGAAAAUAACAAGUCAAGACACAGAGAAUGAGGGAGGUGAAGUGUGUGUCAAUGCUAAUGUAUUUUCACUUCACUCUUUUCUGAAAAGUGAAAAAGAGAGGAAAGAAUCUGACAGUAAGGGUGUAUUCAACAAACCACCCUGAACGGGUAAUUAGCAGUGCACACACC